UAACACGUGGGCAACCUGCCCCCCGCACCGGGACAGCCUCGGGAAACCGUGGGUAAUACCGGGUACUCCGCCACCCCCGCAUGGGGGAGGCGGGAGAGCGUAUGCGGCGGGGGAUGGGCCCGCGGCCUGUUAGCUAGUUGGCGGGGCAACGGCCCACCAAGGCGAUUAUGGGUAGCUGGGUUGAGAGACCGACCAGCCAGAUUGGGACUGAGACACGGCCCAGACUCCUACGGGAGGCAGCAGUGGGGAAUCUUGCGCAAUGGGGGCAACCCUGACGCAGCGACGCCGCGUGCGGGACGAAGGCCUUCGGGUCGUAAACCGCUUUCAGCAGGGACGAGGCCGAGAGGUGACGGUACCUGCAGAAGAAGCCCCGGCUAACUACGUGCCAGCAGCCGCGGUAAUACGUAGGGGGCGAGCGUUAUCCGGAUUCAUUGGGCGUAAAGCGCUCGUAGGCUGCCCGCUAGGUCCGGGGUCAAAUCCGGGGGCUCAACCCCCGCACGCCCCGGAUACCGGCGGGCUUGAGUCGGGUAGGGGAAGGCGGAAUUCCAGGUGUAGCGGUGGAAUGCGCAGAUAUCUGGAAGAACACCGGUGGCGAAGGCGGCCUUCUGGGCCUCGACUGACGCUGAGGAGCGAAAGCUGGGGGAGCGAACAGGAUUAGAUACCCUGGUAGUCCCAGCCGUAAACGAUGGACGCUAGGUGU
This 700-nucleotide ribosomal RNA is filed under the name uncultured bacterium. RNAcentral describes it as "bacterial SSU rRNA". It matches the Rfam family "Bacterial small subunit ribosomal RNA", at positions 111 to 823 of the family's 1533-position model. The record is from RNAcentral.